This is a long non-coding RNA of Canis lupus familiaris (dog), 739 nucleotides long. RefSeq lists it as uncharacterized. The transcript is spliced from 5 exons. NCBI's taxonomy places the organism in Eukaryota, Metazoa, Chordata, Mammalia, Carnivora, Canidae. The record is from RefSeq and is a predicted model, not a curated record.
CCCAGGAAGGGGCACACACUUUACAUCUGUCCUUACCAGUUGGCCCUAUACAACUGGGGAAGGAGGAUUUUUGCUCCCCAAAUCUUACUUGAAUGCUUUUUAUUUAUAGAAUCUAACCUAGACUUUACUGGGAAGAGAUACAGGGAAGAAUUUAGAAGGGGGUGCAAAUGAUGCUGAACAGAUACAUUGAUUCUGAAUUUUCUAUUUCUGUGUGACCUGGGCCCUAUCCUUUUGAAAUGUAAUCAUCAAGAAAGAUAGCGACCCCAUCUCCCAGUCUUUGUGGGAAGAUUCAUGGUCUCCAUAUGUUGUCUCCAGAAAGAGAGAGAGAGAGAGAGAGAGAAAUCAAUCCCCACCGCAAAGCUUGAGUGAGGCCCAACAGGAAAUGGUCUGUGUCUAUGCUUACUAUGCACUUGUUAAAUUACAUUUACUUCAAUUUCCUGGUCAUGGGUAUCAGUGGACAUUGAUAUAUCAAGAGGAUGAAUAUUUGCUCCCUCUCUGAACCCAGCUGCCAUGCAGUGAGAAGUCCAAGCCAUUAGGAAGGUCCUGUGUAAGCACUCCAGUCAACAGCCCAGCUGAGCUACCAGCCAAAAGCAUCAACCCCAAGCCAUGCAAGUGAAUUAUCUUGGACUUCUUAACUCAUUUGAGCACCCAAAUUGGUGCAUCUCUGGCUGACAUUACAUGGAGCAGAAGAACUAUGCAGAUGAUCCCAGUGAGCCCAUGGAAUCAUGAAGAUAUAAUA